AUGUCCGCGCUGCGGGAGUCGGUGUCGUUCGGUCGAUUCCUAUCCGAGUCACUCGAGUGGGAUACGAUGAGGCAUGCCUUGCCGGCACCGACGGCUACCAUAUUGCAUGACCAAUCGCUGCCGGCAGCUGGCCUCAAUCAAGAUGUACAUGUCAAUUUCUUGGUGCCGACCACAAUGGUCGGAGCUCAAUCUGCCUCCUCCAAUUGUGGUGUUGCAUGCAUUGGCGAAUCUGGAGCAGGCGUGAGUUGUAGUCCAUGCUUGCCUGCUGCCCGGUCCUCAACUAAUGUUGAACGAGCUGCAUUGCAUUUGUCGAUGAUGGAGCCAAUGGAGAGCAUUGGUCAGAGCGUAGGAUCUACUACUCCAGUUUUGCUUGAAGAUGAUGCCAAUACCAAUUUCAAGGAUGGAAAUGAAUUGGCUUCAUGCAGUGGAGAUAGUUACACUACACCAAGGAAAACAAGAAGCAUGCCGAUCCGCGGUUCAACAUAUGAGCCAGAGUGUGAUGAAAGCUUGCAGCCCACAAUUGGCAUGGUCUUUGAUAAAUGGGAGCAUGGUGAGAUUUUCUACAAACAUUAUGCUCAUGAGGCUGGUUUUUCGGUUCGGAUAUUUACACAGCAUAAAGGGGAUGGUGGUGUACCAGUGUGGAAGCGAUUUGUUUGUGCAAGGCAAGGAUGGAGGAAGGAGAAAUGUGUACCGAAUGAUCAUGUCAAGAAGUCCAAUAGGAAAGUGAAGAUAACUAGGUGUGGUUGUGAGGCUAUGAUUGGCUUAAAGAGAAGAGGUGAUGGCAAGUAUGUAGUCGCCCGAUUCGUGCUUCAACACACACAUCAGCUUGUCUCGCCGAGUAAGAAACAGUUCCUGCGAUCUAAUAGAGAAGUCAGUAGUGAAUUGAGGAGCACAUUUUUCACUUGUCGCAAAGCAUUGAUGGGCCCUUGCCAAACAUAUCGCUUAUUGAGUGCACAAAAGGGCGGGCAGGCAAAUAUUGGAUGCACGAAGCGUGAUUUACAGAAUUAUGGUCGUGAUAUCGCUGAGAUAAUUAAAGAUGCAGAUGCACAAACAAUCAUUCAUGCUAUGAAGAGUAAGCAAAGUAUCAAUCCAACUUUCUUCUUUGAUUAUGAACGAGAUGAAGAGGACAAGUUAACCCACAUUUUUUGGGCUGAUGGUACAUGCAGAAAGAACUAUGCACUAUUUGGUGAGGUGAUGUCCUUUGAUUCCACAUAUAGUACUAAUCAAUACAACCUAGUUUUUUCCCCUUUCACUGGUGUGAACCAUCACAAGGCAUGUGUUACAUUUGGUGCUGCAUUUGUAUGCCAUGAAAAGGUUUGGUCGUACAAAUGGUUAUUCAAGACCUUUCUAAAGGCAAUGGGAGGUGUUGCACCUAAACUUAUCAUUACGGAUGAGGACCAAAGCAUGAAAGCUGCAAUCAAAGAAGUAUUCCCUCAAACUGUACAUAGACUUUGCAUGUGGCAUAUUCUCUACAAAGUACAACAGUAUGUCGGUCAUGAUUUAUUCAAUGAUGAAGAUUUCCGUAAGCAAUUUAGUGCAUAUGAUUUUUUACAUGGUCUUAUAGGUCAAGAAGCUUUAAAAUAG
Molecule: ribosomal RNA, 1584 nt
Filed under: Triticum aestivum (bread wheat)
Lineage: Eukaryota; Viridiplantae; Streptophyta; Magnoliopsida; Poales; Poaceae
Description: partial small subunit ribosomal RNA
Source: RNAcentral